AAAAACAUGUUUUCAAUGUCAAAUAUGUAAAACAAAAGGCUAAAAACUCGUAUAUACACAAUUCAUCAUUUCCCUAGCACAAACAAAUUUAGUCUAGCGUGUUAAGAAGAAGAAAACAAAAGAAAUAUUGAAAAAACGACAUAACCAAAAUAAAUCUUGAAUUGAAUCUUCGCAUCUUGAAAUCAAUUUUCAUAUUUUCUGCCCCCUUCUAUGCUC
This 216-nucleotide long non-coding RNA is filed under the name Olea europaea (common olive). RNAcentral describes it as "long non-coding RNA (OEUR_LNC004074)". The record is from RNAcentral. Lineage: Eukaryota; Viridiplantae; Streptophyta; Magnoliopsida; Lamiales; Oleaceae.